This 2923-nucleotide ribosomal RNA is filed under the name Klebsiella pneumoniae. Its description in RNAcentral is "23S ribosomal RNA". It matches the Rfam family "Bacterial large subunit ribosomal RNA". Lineage: Bacteria; Pseudomonadati; Pseudomonadota; Gammaproteobacteria; Enterobacterales; Enterobacteriaceae. The record is from RNAcentral.
GGGUUGUGAGGUUAAGCGACUAAGCGUACACGGUGGAUGCCCUGGCAGUCAGAGGCGAUGAAGGACGUGCUAAUCUGCGAAAAGCGUCGGUAAGGUGAUAUGAACCGUUAUAACCGGCGAUGUCCGAAUGGGGAAACCCAGUGUGAUUCGUCACACUAUCGUUAACUGAAUACAUAGGUUAACGAGGCGAACCGGGGGAACUGAAACAUCUAAGUACCCCGAGGAAAAGAAAUCAACCGAGAUUCCCCCAGUAGCGGCGAGCGAACGGGGAGCAGCCCAGAGUCUGAAUCAGCUUGUGUGUUAGUGGAACGGUCUGGAAAGUCCGACGGUACAGGGUGAUAGUCCCGUACACCAAAAUGCACAGGCUGUGAACUCGAAGAGUAGGGCGGGACACGUGGUAUCCUGUCUGAAUAUGGGGGGACCAUCCUCCAAGGCUAAAUACUCCUGACUGACCGAUAGUGAACCAGUACCGUGAGGGAAAGGCGAAAAGAACCCCGGCGAGGGGAGUGAAAAAGAACCUGAAACCGUGUACGUACAAGCAGUGGGAGCACCUUCGGGUGUGACUGCGUACCUUUUGUAUAAUGGGUCAGCGACUUAUAUUCUGUAGCAAGGUUAACCGUAUAGGGGAGCCGCAGGGAAACCGAGUCUUAACUGGGCGUUAAGUUGCAGGGUAUAGACCCGAAACCCGGUGAUCUAGCCAUGGGCAGGUUGAAGGUUGGGUAACACUAACUGGAGGACCGAACCGACUAAUGUUGAAAAAUUAGCGGAUGACUUGUGGCUGGGGGUGAAAGGCCAAUCAAACCGGGAGAUAGCUGGUUCUCCCCGAAAGCUAUUUAGGUAGCGCCUCGUGAACUCAUCUUCGGGGGUAGAGCACUGUUUCGGCUAGGGGGUCAUCCCGACUUACCAACCCGAUGCAAACUACGAAUACCGAAGAAUGUUAUCACGGGAGACACACGGCGGGUGCUAACGUCCGUCGUGAAGAGGGAAACAACCCAGACCGCCAGCUAAGGUCCCAAAGUCAUGGUUAAGUGGGAAACGAUGUGGGAAGGCACAGACAGCCAGGAUGUUGGCUUAGAAGCAGCCAUCAUUUAAAGAAAGCGUAAUAGCUCACUGGUCGAGUCGGCCUGCGCGGAAGAUGUAACGGGGCUAAACCAUGCACCGAAGCUGCGGCAGCGACACUAUGUGUUGUUGGGUAGGGGAGCGUUCUGUAAGCCUGCGAAGGUGACCUGUGAGGGUUGCUGGAGGUAUCAGAAGUGCGAAUGCUGACAUAAGUAACGAUAAAGCGGGUGAAAAGCCCGCUCGCCGGAAGACCAAGGGUUCCUGUCCAACGUUAAUCGGGGCAGGGUGAGUCGACCCCUAAGGCGAGGCCGAAAGGCGUAGUCGAUGGGAAACAGGUUAAUAUUCCUGUACUUGGUGUUACUGCGAAGGGGGGACGGAGAAGGCUAUGUUAGCCGGGGGACGGUUGUCCCGGUUUAAGCAUGUAGGCUGGUUAUCCAGGCAAAUCCGGAUAAUCAAGGCUGAGGUGUGAUGACGAGGCACUACGGUGCUGAAGUAACAAAUGCCCUGCUUCCAGGAAAAGCCUCUAAGCAUCAGGUAACAUUGAAUCGUACCCCAAACCGACACAGGUGGUCAGGUAGAGAAUACCAAGGCGCUUGAGAGAACUCGGGUGAAGGAACUAGGCAAAAUGGUGCCGUAACUUCGGGAGAAGGCACGCUGGUGUGUAGGUGAAGCCCCUGCGGGUGGAGCUGAGACCAGUCGAAGAUACCAGCUGGCUGCAACUGUUUAUUAAAAACACAGCACUGUGCAAACACGAAAGUGGACGUAUACGGUGUGACGCCUGCCCGGUGCCGGAAGGUUAAUUGAUGGGGUUAUCCGUAAGGAGAAGCUCUUGAUCGAAGCCCCGGUAAACGGCGGCCGUAACUAUAACGGUCCUAAGGUAGCGAAAUUCCUUGUCGGGUAAGUUCCGACCUGCACGAAUGGCGUAAUGAUGGCCAGGCUGUCUCCACCCGAGACUCAGUGAAAUUGAACUCGCUGUGAAGAUGCAGUGUACCCGCGGCAAGACGGAAAGACCCCGUGAACCUUUACUAUAGCUUGACACUGAACAUUGAGCCUUGAUGUGUAGGAUAGGUGGGAGGCUUUGAAGCGUGGACGCCAGUCUGCGUGGAGCCAACCUUGAAAUACCACCCUUUAAUGUUUGAUGUUCUAACGUUGGCCCCUGACCGGGGUUGCGGACAGUGUCUGGUGGGUAGUUUGACUGGGGCGGUCUCCUCCCAAAGCGUAACGGAGGAGCACGAAGGUUAGCUAAUCCUGGUCGGACAUCAGGAGGUUAGUGCAAUGGCAUAAGCUAGCUUGACUGCGAGCGUGACGGCGCGAGCAGGUGCGAAAGCAGGUCAUAGUGAUCCGGUGGUUCUGAAUGGAAGGGCCAUCGCUCAACGGAUAAAAGGUACUCCGGGGAUAACAGGCUGAUACCGCCCAAGAGUUCAUAUCGACGGCGGUGUUUGGCACCUCGAUGUCGGCUCAUCACAUCCUGGGGCUGAAGUAGGUCCCAAGGGUAUGGCUGUUCGCCAUUUAAAGUGGUACGCGAGCUGGGUUUAGAACGUCGUGAGACAGUUCGGUCCCUAUCUGCCGUGGGCGCUGGAGAAUUGAGGGGGGCUGCUCCUAGUACGAGAGGACCGGAGUGGACGCAUCACUGGUGUUCGGGUUGUCAUGCCAAUGGCACUGCCCGGUAGCUAAAUGCGGAAGAGAUAAGUGCUGAAAGCAUCUAAGCACGAAACUUGCCCCGAGAUGAGUUCUCCCUGAGACUUUAAGUCUCCUGAAGGAACGUUGAAGACGACGACGUUGAUAGGCCGGGUGUGUAAGCGCAGCGAUGCGUUGAGCUAACCGGUACUAAUGAACCGUGAGGCUUAACCUUACAACGCCGAAG